GAUGAACGCUGGCGGCGUGCCUAAUACAUGCAAGUCGAGCGAACGGACGAGAAGCUUGCUUCUCUGAUGUUAGCGGCGGACGGGUGAGUAACACGUGGAUAACCUACCUAUAAGACUGGGAUAACUUCGGGAAACCGGAGCUAAUACCGGAUAAUAUAUUGAACCGCAUGGUUCAAAAGUGAAAGACGGUUUUGCUGUCACUUAUAGAUGGAUCCGCGCUGCAUUAGCUAGUUGGUAAGGUAACGGCUUACCAAGGCAACGAUGCAUAGCCGACCUGAGAGGGUGGUCGGCCACACUGGGACCUAGACCCCGUCCAGACCUCUACGGGAGGGCGCAGGAGGGAAAUCUUCGCAAAUGGGGGAAAGCCGACGGGGCAACGGCGGCGUGGGUGUUGAGGGCCUUCGGUCGGUAAAAUCCUUUAAUAAGGAAGAAAAAAAUGGUAAGGAACUGAGCACCUUUUGACGGUAACCAAAUAGAAAAGCACGGCCAACUUCGGGC
This 498-nucleotide ribosomal RNA is filed under the name uncultured bacterium. RNAcentral's name for it is "partial 16S ribosomal RNA". It matches the Rfam family "Bacterial small subunit ribosomal RNA", at positions 28 to 508 of the family's 1533-position model. The record is from RNAcentral.